UGCGUGUGGUAAUUUGAACAUCUUUAUUUUCUGACUAACGUUAGGCAUUUCUCUUAAGCAUUUCAGAAAUCAUUAAAACCUUUCUUUUUUUUUUUAGCACAGCGACAUAAAUAUGACCAACCAGAUCCCAAGUAGACAGGAACAAAUGAAGAUAUAGCGCAUAGAAAGACUAAUUCUUGGUGAUCAACUGCUAUUGACAUUUUUGAAUCGGGACAAUUGUGGAGUGAUUCGGAAGAAAAACGUUUGCAACACAUCCAUUCCAGAGUGCUCUGACAGAUAAAACUGACACGCUUGAUGAGGACACAGUCAAAGCUUUAAAAGCCCGUGUGAUAAAGCAGUCUUCUAUUACUACGGUGUCUGAAUUGCAAGAAGUGACCCUCCACUUAAACAUGUGAUAUCUAAACUGUUUUGUGUUUUAGUUCAGCUUUUUAUAGGUUUAUCUUAAGUUGGUUAAAG
This is a long non-coding RNA of Paramisgurnus dabryanus, 456 nucleotides long. RefSeq lists it as uncharacterized. NCBI's taxonomy places the organism in Eukaryota, Metazoa, Chordata, Actinopteri, Cypriniformes, Cobitidae. The record is from RefSeq and is a predicted model, not a curated record.